RNAcentral lists this ribosomal RNA (450 nucleotides) under uncultured bacterium. RNAcentral's name for it is "partial 16S ribosomal RNA". It matches the Rfam family "Bacterial small subunit ribosomal RNA", at positions 338 to 795 of the family's 1533-position model. The record is from RNAcentral.
CCUACGGGGGGCUGCAGUGGGGAAUAUUGGACAAUGGGCGAAAGCCUGAUCCAGCCAUGCCGCGUGUGUGAAGAAGGCCUUCGGGUUGUAAAGCACUUUAAGCGGGGAGGAAGGCCUUGAGACUAAUACUCUUGAGGAUUGACGUUACCCGCAGAAUAAGCACCGGCUAACUCUGUGCCAGCAGCCGCGGUAAUACAGAGGGUGCAAGCGUUGCGCAAAGUUACUGGGCGUGGUGCGCGCGUUCGGAGUUGAAAUCCCCGGGCUCAACCUGGGCACGGCAUCCGAUACUGGCUGACUAGAGUGUGGGAGAGGAAGGUAGAAUUCCAGGUGUAGCGGUGAAAUGCGUAGAGAUCUGUAGGAAUACCGAUGGCGAAGGCAGCCUUCUGGCCUAACACUGACGCUGAGGUGCGAAAGCAUGGGGAGCAAACAGGAUUAGAUACCCCGGUAGUC